RNAcentral lists this transfer RNA (65 nucleotides) under Japonica lutea. RNAcentral describes it as "tRNA-Cys". It matches the Rfam family "tRNA". From Rfam's summary of the family: Transfer RNA (tRNA) molecules are approximately 80 nucleotides in length. Lineage: Eukaryota; Metazoa; Arthropoda; Insecta; Lepidoptera; Lycaenidae. The record is from RNAcentral.
AGUCUUAUAGUUUAAAAAAUAUAAAAUUGCAAAUUUUAAGAUGUAAUAUAAUAAUACUAAGGCUU